AGGAACCUCUGGAGGUUCAUAGGAGGAGACCAGGAACAUCUGGAGGUUCAUAGGAGGAGACCAGGAACAUCUGGAGGUUCAUAGGAGGAGACCAGGAGCCUCUGGAGGUUCAUGGGAGGAGAUCAGGAGCAUCUGGAGGUUCAUAGGAGGAGACCAGGAACCUCUGGAGGUUCAUAGGAGGAGACCAGGAGCCUCUGGAGGUUCAUAGGAGGAGACCAGGAACAUCUGGAGGUUCAUAGGAGGAGAGCAGGAACCUCUGGAGGUUCAUCUGAGACCAGGAACCUCUGGAGGUUCAUAGGAGGAGACAAAGAACCUCUGGAAGUUUAUCUGAGAC
Molecule: long non-coding RNA, 334 nt
Organism: Amphiprion ocellaris (clown anemonefish)
Lineage: Eukaryota; Metazoa; Chordata; Actinopteri; Pomacentridae
Source: Ensembl